Molecule: ribosomal RNA, 566 nt
Filed under: uncultured fungus
Lineage: Eukaryota; Fungi
Description: eukaryotic LSU rRNA
Rfam family: 5.8S ribosomal RNA (bases 189-342)
Source: RNAcentral
UGCGGAAGGAUCAUUAAUGAAUUCAGAGAAUUGAUGCUGGCCUUUGUGCAUGUGCUCGUUCUCUAUAAUCCAUUCACACCUGUGCACUUGUUUUCAGAGUUUAGGGAGAAAUCCCUACUCUGCUAAAUUACAUACUCUUUAUUUUAUUAUGAAUGUUUAUCAAGUCGAAAGACUUUUAAAUUAAAUACAACUUUUAACAACGGAUCUCUUGGCUCUCGCAUCGAUGAAGAACGCAGCGAAAUGCGAUAAGUAAUGUGAAUUGCAGAAUUCAGUGAAUCAUCGAAUCUUUGAACGCACCUUGCGCUCCUUGGUAUUCCGAGGAGCACGCCUGUUCGAGUGUCAUGAAGCUCUCAAGCGAUAAUAACUUUAUUGUAAUUAUUUAGCUUGGAUUUGGGACUUGCUGUGUUACAACGGCUGUCCCUAAAUGUAUUAGCCGGCUCUAAUGGAAGACUUGGUUCAUACUCGGUGUGAUAAUUAUCUUACGCUGAGGACAUUUUACUUGUAGAAUGGCCAGGACUAUUAUUAGGCUGCUUCUAAUCGUCUCUUCUGACAAAAUCAUAUUCUAA